GCACACAAAUAACAAUAUUGACAUGGAAAAUGAACUGAACCAACAAACUAAAAUCUUUAUAUUUCUCAUGAUCCUUAGUGGAUUUAUUAGCAUAUAACAAGUCCCAAUUCCUUUUCAGCUGGCAGUAAAAUUCAAAUUAGGCAGUUGGUUGCCAAACACCAUUUGUUGACUAACAUUCUUGAUACUUGACAAACUGACCCAAAGGCACACCAAGAACAGUCU
RNAcentral lists this unclassified non-coding RNA (222 nucleotides) under Hevea brasiliensis (rubber tree). Lineage: Eukaryota; Viridiplantae; Streptophyta; Magnoliopsida; Malpighiales; Euphorbiaceae. The record is from RNAcentral.